CCCUUAGAUGUCCUGGGCCGCACGCGCGUUACACUGAUGCAUUCAACGAGCUUAUAACCUUGGCCGAGAGGCCUGGGCAAUCUUGUUAACGUGCAUCGUGAUAGGGAUAGAUUAUUGAAAUUAUUAAUCUUGAACGAGGAAUUCCUAGUAAACGCAGAUCAUCAAUCUGCAUUGAUUACGUCCCUGCCCUUUGUAAACACCGCCCGUCGCACCUACCGAUUGGAUGGUCCGGUGAAGCCUCGGGAUUGUGGUUCUUGCCGCUUUAUUGUGGCGUGACCGCGAGAACUUGUCUAAACCUUAUCAUCUAGAGGAAGGUGAAGUCGUAACA
This 328-nucleotide ribosomal RNA is filed under the name uncultured eukaryote. RNAcentral's name for it is "partial 18S ribosomal RNA". It matches the Rfam family "Eukaryotic small subunit ribosomal RNA", at positions 1470 to 1796 of the family's 1831-position model. The record is from RNAcentral.